GCAGUGCCACUGUUAAAUUCACAUAGUAUUUUAAAAAAGGAACAACAUGUAAUUCCUCACACCAUAAAGGAACAAAAAAAAUUCCUAAAUGUUGCAUAAUGCUCUAAAGCACAGAUGCUACCAGUACAGAUAACCAUGAUUCAAUUGUUAGGAUAUAAGCAGACCCUGUCAAUCAGUUCCUACACUGUUGAAAUGGAAACCAAAAUCAUGCACACAUAACCAAAGAGCUUUCUAAGUAAAGCGCUAUGAGUUUGCCAAUUGAUACAGUGCCUCAGUCUCUCAGAAGCAUAAAAGCAAAAGGUUGUUUCUGAUAUGUGUGGUGCUUCUAAAGUGUUAGUGCAGCCAAUUUUUAAGAAGUAGGAAAUUUUUAUUUCUACUAACCGCUUACUUAUGUCCUCCCAUGUAAGGCAUUCAUUAUCCAAACCAUAGUAAA
This 433-nucleotide unclassified non-coding RNA is filed under the name Hevea brasiliensis (rubber tree). The record is from RNAcentral. Lineage: Eukaryota; Viridiplantae; Streptophyta; Magnoliopsida; Malpighiales; Euphorbiaceae.